Molecule: ribosomal RNA, 433 nt
Filed under: uncultured bacterium
Lineage: Bacteria
Description: partial 16S ribosomal RNA
Rfam family: Bacterial small subunit ribosomal RNA
Source: RNAcentral
AACGAACGCUGGCGGCAUGCCUAACACAUGCAAGUCGAACGAGACCUUCGGGUCUAGUGGCGCACGGGUGCGUAACGCGUGGGAACCUGCCCUUAGGUUCGGAAUAACUCCCCGAAAGGGGUGCUAAUACCGGAUAAUGUCUUCGGACCAAAGAUUUAUCGCCUUUGGAUGGGCCCGCGUUGGAUUAGCUAGUUGGUAGGGUAAAAGCCUACCAAGGCGACGAUCCAUAGCUGGUCUGAGAGGAUGAUCAGCCACACUGGGACUGAGACACGGCCCAGACUCCUACGGGAGGCAGCAGUAGGGAAUAUUGGACAAUGAGCGAAAGCCUGAUCCAGCAAUGCCGCGUGAGUGAUGAAGGCCUUAGGAUUGUAAAGCUCUUUUACCCGAGAUGAUAAUGACAGUACCGGGAGAAUAAGCUCCGGCUAACUCCGUG